RNAcentral lists this long non-coding RNA (801 nucleotides) under Malus domestica (apple). Its description in RNAcentral is "long non-coding RNA (MDOM_LNC013168)". The record is from RNAcentral. Lineage: Eukaryota; Viridiplantae; Streptophyta; Magnoliopsida; Rosales; Rosaceae.
CAAAACCUUCCUUCAUCUUUUUAUUUUUAUUUUCUUUCCCUUACAUCCGAGCCAUCCAUUUCAGAUUUCCUUUAAUCUGGACCAUCCAAAUGGCACACCAAAAUUUUAUAAUAAAAUUCAUAAAAUGCCCAAACUUCAAACUUUAAAAUCUUUUUCGUUAUAACUCCAAAUCACGAACCGUCUGCGCCCACGCUUCCGUAGCGACGAGUACUACGAGGAUAUGUCAAGAAAACAAAUCUUAGAUGGCACGACACAACGAUCAACCUCGAAUAAUGCGCGUGCCUCAAAGGGCAUUUUGUAAAAUCCUUUAUUAAAACUUUAAAAACUCUUAAAAUCAAGGACGGGCUAUCACAAAGUGUGAUUUAAGUUUGGGGGUGGGAAAUAAGAAAUUUUAGAUUUUUAAUUUUUGAGUCAAUUCAAAAAAAAAUUCAUUCUUUUUAAAUUAAUAUCCAUAGUUUAAUUUAAACGUUAGAACAAAUGGACAUGGUGAAGGUUAAUCCCACAUUGGAUUCUUUUCUAUUUAUCGUUGCUUAGACACUAAUUCAUGAGUUAUACUUUGAAAAUUUGCACAUUCACAUCAACAUGGUUUGUGGGGAGUGAGAUUGAAACACUUACUUUUAGUCUAAGUGUAUUUUAAUUUUUGUUCUAAGUAAAGUUAGUAGGUGUUAUAAAGUAAUAAUUGUUCCACCCGAGACUUUGCCUGGUAACUGGGCCAAUCCUGUCUGAUCAACAGUGAUUCUCGCGUCAAACGGUAGAGUCUUGGCAUGGGGCAUGGUGGUUAGUUGGUUUCGUAGCCUUUUC